GACGAACGCUGGCUGCGUGCUUAACACAUGCAAGUCGAACGGAAAGGCCCUGCUUUUGUGGGGUGCUCGAGUGGCGAACGGGUGCGUAACACGUGAGUAACCUGCCCUUGACUUUGGGAUAACUUCAGGAAACUGGGGCUAAUACCGGAUAGGAGCUCCUGCUGCAUGGUGGGUGUUGGAAAGUUUCGGCGGUUGGGGAUGGACUCGCGGCUUAUCAGCUUGUUGGUGGGGUAGUGGCUUACCAAGGCUUUGACGGGUAGCCGGCCUGAGAGGGUGACCGGCCACAUUGGGACUGAGAUACGGCACAGACUACUACGGGAGGCAGCAGUGGGGAAUAUUGCACAAUGGGCGGAAGCCUGAUGCAGCAACGCCGCGUGCGGGAUGACGGACUUCGGGUUGUAAACCGCUUUCGCCUGUGACGAAGCGUGAGUGAAGGUAAUGGGUAAAGAAGCACCGGCUAACUACGUG
This 468-nucleotide ribosomal RNA is filed under the name uncultured bacterium. RNAcentral's name for it is "partial 16S ribosomal RNA". It matches the Rfam family "Bacterial small subunit ribosomal RNA", at positions 28 to 507 of the family's 1533-position model. The record is from RNAcentral.